GUUGGUGUGUAGGAAAAAUGAUGUUGGGGGGUUUGCAUAGAAGAAGGUGCAUGUGAGAAUGUGUCAGCGUUCAACGAGAAAGGACUAGGGGAAAGAGAGAAGGAGUAAGAGAGGCGAGUGAGGUUUUAACGACGGCGGCCUAUCGACAGCAGUCGAACGAAGGAACUAAGCCACGGUAGUCGAACGAGCAGGAGUGGACGCCGGUGGGGCCGUCGAGCUAAACGAUCACGCCGGUAUCCUACUUGAAGUUGCCGCCGACCAAACAGAGGUGCAUGCGGAGGAGCCAGAUCCGACCAUUUGUCGCUACCUCCCCAUCGUCCCGGGUUCCACCUCGACGCGUUCCCUCAUCCGAUCUAGUAGGUAGACGUGCCACAACAACGAGAGCUGCAGGCACGUCCACUACACCCGUACCUAAAGCGGAGAGCGUCGGUCGAAACUAGGUAGAAAUCAUACUCCUACCACCUCUGCAAAAGACGGGGAUCUCGCGGUCGCUUUGCGUAGGAGGUGUAGCCGCUGUAAGAAGCUUCAAGCUUCCAGGGGAAAAGGGAAAAGGACUGACAGUAUAUAAAUAAAAAAAGUAUUGGUACAGGAAACAAAGACGCUAAGUUAUAUUUCAUUAAUUCCUUUACUGACAAAUCACUUUUUACAAAGAAGUGAAAAGGAAUUUUAGAACUUUUUCGUACACUAAAAAAUUCCCGAGGUAUCCACAACUUACUCCAUCUAUUAUUAAUCACUCACUUUAACCUUUCUUACAUUUGUAUACAGGUGCGUCUGUACUAUUGAUUUAACCUCCACGAAAACGGUGGCUGUACGUACAUCCCCUACGCGAUCGAAGAUAGGACGCGCUCACACUCCAACCACCCCUGUUACAACGGGGGUUCAAGGAUGAGCCUGUGCAGCAGUGACAGGUUUUCGCUCCGUCCGGUUUUUAAACAGAAACAACAGCUGUCUCCGUUGGACCGAACCAGUAACUUAUAAAAGUGGGUGUACAGGAGGAAGGAGAAUAGGAAAAAAACAGAAACAUACUAACUUGAUUAUAUUAAUUUAUUCCAUAACGAAAAGUCACUGAUUGCAAGGACAAAUACAAAAAAUAUGGUAGUAGAUAUGACCAACGGGAACUAAAAGAAAGCUAACUGAAUACCAUUUCCAUGAUUUACUACUAUCAUUCAAUACUUACGUUUUAUGUCUCAUGUCGCAUCACAAUUAUACAAAUACGGGGGAGGUGAAAAAAAGGCCCGAACCCUGCUAUAACCGUCACAGUCCGGGGAGAUGGGGAUAAUUAUAAGUCGUUUGAAUUCUUUAUUAAUCAUAUAAGUACCAAUCGAUAUUAAAUUUAUAAAAGCUUUCUGUUUAAUUCUAAAUUUUCAUUUAAACUUUUAUCCAGACUAGCACAACAUGUAUAUUUUACAUUGUUGACACGUAUACAAUUAAGUGACCGAAGAAGUGUGUAGGUAGGUCACACAUUUAAACCGCUAAGGAUGAGAAAGAAAGGAACGUUAGAAACAAUUUAGACAUCUUAGACUUUUCUACUGAACGACGAGUAAAAGGUUCACCUUUCCGUUAGAAAACUGCAUCCCUAGAGACUUCACGUGAAGUUUAACUUGAUAAAAGGUUGUUAAUCGUGACACCGAACCAGUAGUGGAAAUAAAUACAUAAUUUUUUCCAUAAAAUAACUAUCCCUAGACAACGUGUGGAGAUGUAAAUAUACACGAACUAUAAACUGGUCAUCUAUAGACAACUUACGCUGAUGUCGUCUUAACUACACGUUCCGUAUACGUUGUAUUACAACGAAGGACACGUAGUAAUCACCAUUUCAAAUCUUGGUUUCCCUACUAUUGUGUGUAUUCCAUUUUGAACACUUCUAAAAAAAUGAACUUCAACUAGUUUCCAACAGGAAAAACACACCAACACAUAACACCCCGUAGGGUAAUACUAGCUUCUGACAAAUAAAUAGAAAAGAACGUCAAAGUAAGAUGAAAGGUUAGAACGACAAAACAACUAACAGACCUAAAUGUAGUUAUUCUAUUAUCAAAAUUUAUAGCAAAAGAACAGGUUCGAUUUUAGUUAAUCCUUGGAGAACACGGAUUGACCUUAACAACAGAAAAAUCAACAUUGUAAGAACACUAUGGUGUAUAUUUUCUUAGUGCUAAUCAUUGCCUAGUGGAACAACCUAACGUAUAAACUAAACAAAAUUGGUGGAAAAUGUACAAAGAGCUUAAGGAACGAUACGCCGGGUGGUAAAGAACAGUAACAAAUAAGGACGUGUUAUCUCUUACGUUUCUAUUUCAAGUUCUCCUACUAUAAUAUUAUAAUAAUGUCUGUCACCAUCUGGACUUAAACACAAAAAAAACCCGCUACCUACUGAUGUUUCUAGUUACCGCUACGUGGACGACCAGAAACCUGUCCCCUCAUGGACCCGACCGGUUGGGACGAGCAGGGUUACCAACCAGGUGGUGUCCAACGUCUAAUUACGAGUUCAAACACUUCUAAGUAAUAAAAAUAAUGAAAAGCGGAAUGAAAAGAGUAAUAAAAAUACGGUAGACAUGAACUAAUUACUCCAUGAAAUAAUCUGUAUUAAUGACUCCAUGAGUUAGGUUUAUAAUACACUUGGUAAUAGACUAGAUGUUUGACAUUCAUCUAUGGUAUGACGUAAUGAGAAUGGGAAACGAAGAAUUAUCUGAAGUUUGGAUACCUCCGGUAAGGUGUUAGGGUCUAAUAUCAUCUCCUCGUGCGAUAUUGAGACACUCUACCAUGAAUGAUUUCUACCAGACUAGAGAACUACCUCGUCUAAUGCUAACUCCCCGAACACUGACUACGUCCUUCUGUUACGACUUCGCGUUGAACAACCUCCUUCAACUGUAGCUUCACAACAAACGAUCUCCUUCUACUACAUUAUUCCCAUGAGAAGACUUUAGAUUUCCUGUUACUUAAAAACUCUACCAGCUUGGUAACGGACCCCUUCCAUAAAAUCCCUACCGACUCAACUGGUGAGAACGAGCUACCUUUCUCUACAAUGAACCUACGUCUCUCUAAAAUAUAUACAUGCACUUGCACUCUAAAACAAAGACGAACCUCUCUAACAUAGAGACAUGUUAUAACCAUCUCAAACCAAUACAAACCUCUCUAACAUAGAAACGUAUCCUAACACUCUCAAAUCAGUAACGUAGGACAUUUACUAGCAAACUGAAAAAGACCCUGGUACUCUCAUAUAAAAAAAUUUGCACAUUACUAGUCGAAAAAAAAUACCGGUACAUAAAACUCAUGUAAAAAUUGUACACUACUGGGU
Molecule: ribosomal RNA, 3286 nt
Filed under: Triticum aestivum (bread wheat)
Lineage: Eukaryota; Viridiplantae; Streptophyta; Magnoliopsida; Poales; Poaceae
Description: partial small subunit ribosomal RNA
Source: RNAcentral